RNAcentral lists this ribosomal RNA (700 nucleotides) under uncultured bacterium. RNAcentral's name for it is "bacterial SSU rRNA". It matches the Rfam family "Bacterial small subunit ribosomal RNA", at positions 72 to 773 of the family's 1533-position model. The record is from RNAcentral.
GGACGAUAACGGCGUCGAGCGGCGGACGGGUGAGUAAUGCCUAGGAAAUUGCCCUGAUGUGGGGGAUAACCAUUGGAAACGAUGGCUAAUACCGCAUGAUGCCUAUGGGCCAAAGAGGGGGACUUUAGGGCCUCUCGCGUCAGGAUAUGCCUAGGUGGGAUUAGCUAGUUGGUGAGGUAAGGGCUCACCAAGGCGACGAUCCCUAGCUGGUCUGAGAGGAUGAUCAGCCACACUGGAACUGAGACACGGUCCAGACCCCUACGGGAGGCAGCAGUGGGGAAUAUUGCACAAUGGGCGCAAGCCUGAUGCAGCCAUGCCGCGUGUGUGAAGAAGGCCUUCGGGUUGUAAAGCACUUUCAGUCGUGAGGAAGGUAGUGUAGUUAAUAGCUGCAUUAUUUGACGUUAGCGACAGAAGAAGCACCGGCUAACUCCGUGCCAGCAGCCGCGGUAAUACGGAGGGUGCGAGCGUUAAUCGGAAUUACUGGGCGUAAAGCGCAUGCAGGUGGUUUGUUAAGUCAGAUGUGAAAGCCCGGGGCUCAACCUCGGAAUAGCAUUUGAAACUGGCAGACUAGAGUACUGUAGAGGGGGGUAGAAUUUCAGGUGUAGCGGUGAAAUGCGUAGAGAUCUGAAGGAAUACCAGUGGCGAAGGCGGCCCCCUGGACAGAUACUGACACUCAGAUGCGAAAGCGUGGGGAGCAAAC